GAGAUGCCCCAAGCUGAGGGACCUAGAGCCAAUUCUUAUGAAUUGCUCCCACCCUCUGGAAUCCUUCAGCUAUGGGUCAGUGUGUCGCUUCCGCUGCACUCAGGGCUACUUCCUCAAUGGGACGAGCAGGGUGCAGUGCCAGCCUGAUGGGCACUGGUCAGACAAGAUGCCUGCCUGCCAAGAAGAGGCUGCUUCCUAUUUCAAGCAAGUCCUGCUUUACAUGGGUGGUGGAGCUGUGACCCUUGUGGCCCUGUUGCUGACAGGAAUGUUCAUAGCUCUGCUAAUCAAGCGUCUCAGUAACAAAGAGGAAGAAAAAACACUGCUGAAUCCCAUCAGUAACCUGGGAGCCCCUGGUGUCUUUACAAAUGCAGCGUUUGACUCCAACUUUUAAGCUAAAGCAGAAGAUGCCCCCAGGAGAGAAGAUCACUGGAAGGAAAAGGACCUGAAGAUGGUACUCAUGCCUCAAUCCUUUUAGAAGCUGUUUUUAUACCUUACUCCCCAGCUCAGCUCUGCCAUCAUCCAGCCCAAGAACUCACAGUCACUGACAGUCAGGGAUUAAACUAACUCUGGUGCACACAUCCAGUUCUGAUCUGAAAUCUGGGCUCGUUCUUCCUCUGACACUGGGCUUCGGUUCACAAUCCAGUUGUAUCAUGUAAAGGUCCCCAAGCAUGAGUGGUGGGUUAACUGCUGGCUCAGGGAGGCUAGCCCCCCAGUCCCACCCCUUCUACCCGAAGCCCUGCCCCUUCCAUGCCCGCCAGAGCCCAGAGACCCCCCACAGUGGCCGCUGGCCCCUGCCUCAGGCUAGCACCCCCAGUCCUCACCCCCCAGCCCCAGAGAGCAGGGAGGCCAGGCAGCAUGGCCCCAGCCCAGCCCUGGACCGUGAGGAGGCCCGGCAGUGCGUCCCCAGCCUCCCUGGCCCCAGAGCGUCAGGUGGCCAGGCAGUGCAGCCCCAGCCUCCCUAGCCCCAGAGCGCCGGGAGGGUGGGCAGCACAGCACCAGCCCCAGCCGGGGCCAUGAUGGCACAGGGGAAAAGCCGUCCACAGAGUGGGAAGCAGGAGGGGACUGGUGACGGAGUGUGGGUGAGGCCACGCCUGGCUGUUUGGGGAGGCUCAGCCUCCCCCAGCCUAUGAUACCUGCCGCCCAUGUCCCCAACCCACUUGUUCCUUCAUCCACCUGCCUAUUGGAUGCUCGGAAAGGUCCUCAAGACCUGGGACCUAGUAUCUACACCCUCAAUCACUCUCUAGUCCAGGGGUGGUCAAACUUUUUGGCCUGAGGGCCACCUCUGGGAAUAGAAAUUGUAUGGCGGGCCAUGAAUGUUCACAAAAUUGGGCUCGGG
This is a non-coding RNA of Chrysemys picta bellii (western painted turtle), 1336 nucleotides long. NCBI's taxonomy places the organism in Eukaryota, Metazoa, Chordata, Testudines, Emydidae. The record is from RefSeq and is a predicted model, not a curated record.